Molecule: transfer RNA, 87 nt
Filed under: Chromatiaceae bacterium
Lineage: Bacteria; Pseudomonadati; Pseudomonadota; Gammaproteobacteria; Chromatiales; Chromatiaceae
Description: tRNA-Leu
Rfam family: tRNA
About the family: Transfer RNA (tRNA) molecules are approximately 80 nucleotides in length. Their secondary structure includes four short double-helical elements and three loops (D, anti-codon, and T loops).
Source: RNAcentral
GCCGGGGUGGUGAAAUUGGUAGACACAGGGGAUUCAAAAUCCCCCGGCUUCACGGCCUUGCGGGUUCAAGUCCCGCCCCCGGUACCA